UUUCCUGAUGAUCAUUUUCGUAUCAAUAUACGCUGGAAAUUACCGGCUGAGAUUUCUCUUUGACGAUAUUUAAAGGCUAUUUCUGAUU
This 88-nucleotide small nucleolar RNA is filed under the name Claviceps purpurea 20.1. RNAcentral describes it as "A. fumigatus snoRNA Afu_300". It matches the Rfam family "A. fumigatus snoRNA Afu_300". Lineage: Eukaryota; Fungi; Ascomycota; Sordariomycetes; Hypocreales; Clavicipitaceae. The record is from Rfam by way of RNAcentral.